UCCGGAAAAUCAAGGCUGAGGCGUGAUGACGAGGCACUACGGUGCUGAAGCAACAAAUGCCCUGCUUCCAGGAAAAGCCUCUAAGCAUCAGGUAACAUCAAAUCGUACCCCAAACCGACACAGGUGGUCAGGUAGAGAAUACCAAGGCGCUUGAGAGAACUCGGGUGAAGGAACUAGGCAAAAUGGUGCCGUAACUUCGGGAGAAGGCACGCUGAUAUGUAGGUGAAGCGACUUGCUCGUGGAGCUGAAAUCAGUCGAAGAUACCAGCUGGCUGCAACUGUUUAUUAAAAACACAGCACUGUGCAAACACGAAAGUGGACGUAUACGGUGUGACGCCUGCCCGGUGCCGGAA
This 352-nucleotide ribosomal RNA is filed under the name Escherichia coli. RNAcentral's name for it is "partial 23S ribosomal RNA". It matches the Rfam family "Bacterial large subunit ribosomal RNA", at positions 1541 to 1874 of the family's 2925-position model. Lineage: Bacteria; Pseudomonadati; Pseudomonadota; Gammaproteobacteria; Enterobacterales; Enterobacteriaceae. The record is from RNAcentral.